RNAcentral lists this ribosomal RNA (232 nucleotides) under Staphylococcus aureus. RNAcentral's name for it is "partial 16S ribosomal RNA". It matches the Rfam family "Bacterial small subunit ribosomal RNA", at positions 1310 to 1533 of the family's 1533-position model. The record is from RNAcentral. Lineage: Bacteria; Bacillati; Bacillota; Bacilli; Caryophanales; Staphylococcaceae.
ACUCGACUACAUGAAGCUGGAAUCGCUAGUAAUCGUAGAUCAGCAUGCUACGGUGAAUACGUUCCCGGGUCUUGUACACACCGCCCGUCACACCACGAGAGUUUGUAACACCCGAAGCCGGUGGAGUAACCUUUUAGGAGCUAGCCGUCGAAGGUGGGACAAAUGAUUGGGGUGAAGUCGUAACAAGGUAGCCGUAUCGGAAGGGGCGGCUGGAUCACCUCCUUUCUAAGGA